This is a long non-coding RNA of Cucumis melo (muskmelon), 337 nucleotides long. RefSeq lists it as uncharacterized. NCBI's taxonomy places the organism in Eukaryota, Viridiplantae, Streptophyta, Magnoliopsida, Cucurbitales, Cucurbitaceae. The record is from RefSeq and is a predicted model, not a curated record. The transcript has 2 exons.
AUUCAUCGUGAGAAUUGGGCCUUUGCGUUGGAGUUGAAUUGUGGGUUACAUAAGGAAAUAGUAUUUAUAAACACGACGUUGAGUUGUGGCUUUUGCCUUGGGCUUCAAGAAUGAUGGCGUGGAAUUAUCAUUGGGGAUGGCGUAAUUAGAAGAAAGAGAAGUGGUAAGGAGCUAUGAAAAGGUGGUGUCGAGGAGAGGGGGGGAAAGAGGAAUAUAAUGGAGUUGGUGAAAGGGGAAAAGCAACACGAAAACCAAAAGUAUUGAGAUGAGUUGUUACGACUUUCUCUCUUUUUUCAAUAAUAUAUCAUAAUCAAUUUUUUGUCUUUUUCUUUUGAAA